RNAcentral lists this long non-coding RNA (630 nucleotides) under Phoenix dactylifera (date palm). RNAcentral describes it as "long non-coding RNA (PDAC_LNC013452)". The record is from RNAcentral. Lineage: Eukaryota; Viridiplantae; Streptophyta; Magnoliopsida; Arecales; Arecaceae.
AUUGCUCAUUGUUAUGAUCAUACAAUUUGUGGUUUCCACAUUGAAAAUGCAUGAUCAACUGUUUCUACACAGCACGACUUGGUCAUUCUAGCCCAUCAUCAACAUUCAAUUUUGUGUCUAUAACAUUAACGUCCUCAAAUUUCGGCGAUUCAUGCAACAAAGAUGACCAAUCGCCAAGGGCUUUACUUCAAUGUCAUUCAAUGAACACAUUCUUUACAUCAGCAAUAUUGGAUCAUUACAAUCUCUAUCAAACAACUUGAUCAUCUUGAUCAAUGAUUGCCAAAAUGUCUGAGUUGGGCGGUUCGGCCUAUAUCGAACCGAACCGAUGUUGAUCUAGAAUGCUUCAACAGGUCAAGUCAGUUCGGCUAUAAAAUCCAUCUCCCGUUGCCUUGUUUGAUGGUUCAAGAGCUCGAAGGGCUCUCUCAUUUGCUUUCGAUAGUUUGAGGGUCUCCUUUGCCACCAAACGUCGUUUGCUUCACCGGCAAGCCUCCCCUACUCUCUCUCCCCCUUGCAUCCAAGAUGGCUUCUUCCUCUGCUUUUGCCGCUUCUUCAUCGUUGGGAAGAGCUAGGGUUUGAAUUCUUCUCUCCAUCUCUCUCUCUCCAUGGUGCGUCCACAGCGGCUCCUUCCAC